GGUAGCAUAAUCAUUUGUCUAUUAAUUGUAGACCUGUAUGAAAGGCAAAAUGAGAGCCCAACUGUCUCUUAUAACAAAUCAAUUAAACUGAUCUUCUAGUACAAAAGCUAGAAUACCAACAUAAGACCAGAAGACCCUGUGAAGCUUUAACUAACCUAUUAAACCCAAUAAUAACUACUUUAGGUUGGGGCGACCUUGGAAUAAAAAAGAACUUCCAAUCUAUGACUCCCUCAUAAGCUAAGGCAAACAAGCCAACACGACCCAGUACAGCUGACAAUUGAAACAAGUUACUCCAGGGAUAACAGCGCCAUCUUCUUUAAGAGCCCAUAUCAAAAAGAAGGUUUACGACCUCGAUGUUGGAUCAGGACACCCCAGCAAUGCAACCGUUACUAAAGGUUCGUUUGUUCAACGAUUAAUAGUCCUACGUGAUCUGAG
RNAcentral lists this ribosomal RNA (435 nucleotides) under Bothrops neuwiedi (Jararaca pintada). RNAcentral's name for it is "partial large subunit ribosomal RNA". It matches the Rfam family "Bacterial large subunit ribosomal RNA", at positions 1955 to 2609 of the family's 2925-position model. Lineage: Eukaryota; Metazoa; Chordata; Lepidosauria; Squamata; Viperidae. The record is from RNAcentral.